This 981-nucleotide ribosomal RNA is filed under the name human gut metagenome. RNAcentral describes it as "bacterial LSU rRNA". It matches the Rfam family "Bacterial large subunit ribosomal RNA", at positions 1946 to 2925 of the family's 2925-position model. The record is from RNAcentral.
CGGUCCUAAGGUAGCGAAAUUCCUUGUCGGGUAAGUUCCGACCUGCACGAAUGGCAUAAUGAUGGCCAGGCUGUCUCCACCCGAGACUCAGUGAAAUUGAAAUCGCCGUGAAGAUGCGGUGUACCCGCGGCUAGACGGAAAGACCCCGUGAACCUUUACUAUAGCUUGACACUGAACAUUGAAUUUUGAUGUGUAGGAUAGGUGGGAGACUUAGAAGCAGUCACGCCAGUGAUUGUGGAGUCGUCCUUGAAAUACCACCCUUUAACGUUUGAUGUUCUAACGAAGAUUACGAAACGUGGUCUCGGACAGUGUCUGGUGGGUAGUUUGACUGGGGCGGUCUCCUCCCAAAGAGUAACGGAGGAGCACGAAGGUUUGCUAAUGACGGUCGGACAUCGUCAGGUUAGUGCAAUGGUAUAAGCAAGCUUAACUGCGAGACAGACAAGUCGAGCAGGUACGAAAGUAGGUCAUAGUGAUCCGGUGGUUCUGAAUGGAAGGGCCAUCGCUCAACGGAUAAAAGGUACUCCGGGGAUAACAGGCUGAUACCGCCCAAGAGUUCAUAUCGACGGCGGUGUUUGGCACCUCGAUGUCGGCUCAUCACAUCCUGGGGCUGAAGUAGGUCCCAAGGGUAUGGCUGUUCGCCAUUUAAAGUGGUACGCGAGCUGGGUUUAGAACGUCGUGAGACAGUUCGGUCCCUAUCUGCCGUGGGCGUUGGAGAAUUGAUUGGGGCUGCUCCUAGUACGAGAGGACCGGAGUGGACGCACCACUGGUGUUCCGGUUGUGUCGCCAGACGCAUUGCCGGGUAGCUAAGUGCGGAAGAGAUAAGUGCUGAAAGCAUCUAAGCACGAAACUUGCCAAGAGAUGAGUUCUCCCAGAUUACAAAUCUGUAAGGGUUGUUUAAGACUAAGACGUAGAUAGGCAUGGUGUGUAAGCGGUGCGAGCCGUUGAGCUAACAUGUACUAAUUGCCCGAGAGGCUUAACUAU